Cercocebus atys (sooty mangabey) is the source of this 1264-nucleotide long non-coding RNA. RefSeq lists it as uncharacterized. The transcript is spliced from 5 exons. The record is from RefSeq and is a predicted model, not a curated record. NCBI's taxonomy places the organism in Eukaryota, Metazoa, Chordata, Mammalia, Primates, Cercopithecidae.
UGAAGAUGACAUCUAUGGAAUCUUUUCCUUGCAAUUGAUGCAUUCUUUAGUCCAGUAAUAUCAUCUCACUUUGUAUCCAAGACAUUCUCUCUGUUCAUGUAGAAUUCAGGAAUGAUAUAAAAAGAAAGGAAGAUGAGAUGAAGAGAACAGUGCCUACCCUCAAAGAGAUCCUAAUCCAUUCGUGCAUGUUUGGGAGGAAGACAAAGAAAGAAACUUCCAAAUGUAUUACUGUAUGCAUAUUUGUGAUUAAGAAUCCUGCUGAGAUGACACUUGGUGGUUCGAAAAGCCAAGUGUUUCUGCAUUUCCGCAGAGCCUGCAUCGUGAACCUACUGUGUGCAAAGUGCCUGGAAGCCCUUGAGGAUGGGAAGAUUAAGGCCUCCUCGUGGUUUCUCUGGUGCCAGCAGACUCCGGAGGAAAGAGACAAGCAAACAGGAGCCUUGCAGGAGGGGUGAGGGCAAACCUUGAAGUUGAAUGAAGGGAAUUGCAUCCGUUCUCCAUGAUGGCUGAAGAAGGUGUGGAGGAGGGAAGCCACAUGUGGAUGGAACCUUUUUGAAGCAUAAACAUUUGGGUACACUCUAAGAUUUGGAACAAUCUUCACCAUGAUCAGGAAAUAUGUUAUAUUGCAGUAUCCCCUACUGUGCCUAAAAAUGUAAUGUGUUCACUUUGUCUUACAAUUGAUUUCUAAUGACUUCAAACUUAUGUAUCUUCUUUGUGUCUUAAAGUAAAUUUCAAAUAAUGGAAUGUCAAGCAUCAGAAUAGAGGGGUAGAGGUGUACGUAUAUUGCAAUUAUGUCCUUGAUACUGAUUUAAGUAAUCACUUCCUAACUGUACUCUAACAUUGUUAUAGAUUAUGAACUCUGGUGAAUUUUAUAGCUGCCACCUUUGUCUGCCUGAUCCUAUACUCUUAAAUCUAUCCAGUCCACAUAAGCAUGAAGUGGAACAAAGAAAACCAGUACAAACUAAACUUACAUCUCCAGCAUUACAUCACAAAGUUCCAGACCCCCUCAAUAUCUCCUGAAUAGGUUCAUGCUCUUACUCAGUUCUGCUGCAUAACAAGUUCUUGAGCUCUCAGAGUUCUCUCUCACUUCUAGAACUCAUGUUGUUGUGGCAUGUAGAAUUUAACUGCUGCAUCUUAAAUAUGCUACUUUUUGUAGGACAUAGUUGGAGCUCACACUCUUUCUCUUCUUUAGAUAUUUGAGUCAAUGAACUGUUUUCAACAAGUAUGAAUAAUUGCUGUUUUUCAGAUACCUUCUGCUUAAUUUAGG